RNAcentral lists this small nucleolar RNA (135 nucleotides) under Erinaceus europaeus (western European hedgehog). Its description in RNAcentral is "Small nucleolar RNA SNORA70 (ENSEEUG00000023724.1)". It matches the Rfam family "Small nucleolar RNA SNORA70". From Rfam's summary of the family: snoRNA U70 seems to be exclusive to mammals and is a member of the H/ACA class of snoRNA which contain H (ANANNA) and ACA box motifs. Lineage: Eukaryota; Metazoa; Chordata; Mammalia; Eulipotyphla; Erinaceidae. The record is from RNAcentral.
AUGCUGCCAAUUAAUCUGACCAUGCUGCCUUCCCUAUGGUGCCCCAUGUGUAAUGGCUGCCAACAGCAGCAUCCUGGGUGGUGUAUGCAACCUGUUGCUUAUACAGGGCUGCCCUAAGGGACCCUGGAGACAGCC